GAUCGAGAAAUGGUUCACUGUUGUUGC
RNAcentral lists this non-coding RNA (27 nucleotides) under Homo sapiens (human). The record is from RNAcentral. Lineage: Eukaryota; Metazoa; Chordata; Mammalia; Primates; Hominidae.